RNAcentral lists this ribosomal RNA (435 nucleotides) under Triticum aestivum (bread wheat). RNAcentral describes it as "partial small subunit ribosomal RNA". Lineage: Eukaryota; Viridiplantae; Streptophyta; Magnoliopsida; Poales; Poaceae. The record is from RNAcentral.
AUGGGCAGAAUUGGCUUAGAUAAAGUGGAGAGGGUUUCUGACUUGAUCGACAACUACACAGGAAAUUGGAAUGUGGAUGUUGUCCGUCAAAAUUUUCUGCACCCGGAUGCAGAGGCAAUACUGAAUAUCCCUAUGAACCCUGCUGGUGGCGAGGACACAUUAGCUUGGGCUUUGGAAAAGUCGGGCAUCUACUCUGUAAAAUCUGCGUAUCGAUCUCAGGUGACUCAAAACGAGAUCAGUUCUCUAGAGGAAGGGACGAUUACGGAAUCUUCAUCGGCAAAUAAACAGUUGUGGACGGCCUUGUGGAAACUAGAUGUGGUUCCCAAAGUUCAAGUUUUUGGUGGAGGGUGCUCCGACGCAUUCUACCUGACUCAAGUACCUUGCAACACAGACAUAUUAAACAUAAUUCACUAUGUGGGGUUUGCAAGGCUAUGA